AAAACCUGACAGGGGAGAUACCAUGAUCAUGAAGGUGGUUUUCCCAGGACAAAGUUUAUCCAUUGUACUCCAGAUGCGCUGACUGCUGUGAUUUCUCCAAAUUUGAGAAACUUGACUGCAUUAUUUGUGGCAGUGGGGGGGCUGUAUUUGUGCCCUCUCCUG
Nycticebus coucang (slow loris) is the source of this 162-nucleotide small nuclear RNA. RefSeq annotates it as U1 spliceosomal RNA. The record is from RefSeq and is a predicted model, not a curated record. NCBI's taxonomy places the organism in Eukaryota, Metazoa, Chordata, Mammalia, Primates, Lorisidae. The transcript has a single exon.